AGAGAUGUGUGAUGACGCAUAUCAAUAAGCGGAGGAAAAGUAACUAACAAGGAUUCCCCUAGUAACGGCGAGUGAAGCGGGAAGAGCUCAAAUUUGAAAUCUUAAAGGGUUUCCCUUUACGAAUUGUAGUUUAAAGAAGUGUUUUCUGUUGGAGUUUCGGUAAAAGUUCUUUGGAAUAGGACAUCAUAGAGGGUGAGAAUCCCGUAUUUGACCGUUACUUUCUAGCUUUGUGAUACACUUUCAAAGAGUCGGAUUGUUUGGGAAUGCAGUCCAAAAUGGGUGGUAAAUUUCAUCUAAAGCUAAAUAUUGGCGAGAGACCGAUAGCGAACAAGUACCGUGAGGGAAAGAUGAAAAGAACUUUGAAAAGAGAGUUAAACAGUACGUGAAAUUGUCAAAAGGGAAGCGUUUGACACCAGUGUUGUUUAGUUGAAAAUCAAUUAAAUAUUUUUCGAUUUUAAGUAGUAUUGACCUUAUCAGCUUGCUGCUUUUUUCUCGGAAAUUAUUUAAUGCACUUUUCAGUUAACAAGUCAACAUCAAUUUCUUUUGUUGUAAAAAGGUAAGAGGAAGGUGGCUUGCGCUUCGGCUCAAGUGUUUAUAGCCUUUUACCCCUGCAAUCGGAGAGAUUGAGGUCUGCAGCGUAGAUCCUUCGGGGUUAGAUACAUUUGUGCUAAGCUAUAGCCUUGUAUAGACAACUUGUUGACUAUGCUCAGUCAUGUAGCUUACUCGCUUAUGCUAUUUUACCUACGCUUAGGAUGUUGAUCUGUAGUGCGUGCGC
Molecule: ribosomal RNA, 775 nt
Filed under: uncultured Neocallimastigales
Lineage: Eukaryota; Fungi; Neocallimastigomycota; Neocallimastigomycetes; Neocallimastigales
Description: partial large subunit ribosomal RNA
Rfam family: Eukaryotic large subunit ribosomal RNA
Source: RNAcentral